GCCAGCAUAGUGUAGUGGUUACAGUACUGGACUAGGACUCUGGAGACUAAGGUUCAAAUCCUGGUUUGGCC
Molecule: non-coding RNA, 71 nt
Organism: Phrynosoma platyrhinos (Desert horned lizard)
Lineage: Eukaryota; Metazoa; Chordata; Lepidosauria; Squamata; Phrynosomatidae
Source: the annotation of a GenBank genome assembly